Molecule: ribosomal RNA, 468 nt
Filed under: uncultured bacterium
Lineage: Bacteria
Description: bacterial SSU rRNA
Rfam family: Bacterial small subunit ribosomal RNA
Source: RNAcentral
AACGAACGCUGGCGGCGGGCCUCAUACAUGCAAGUCGAGCGCGAAAGUCCGCAAGGAUGAGUAAAGCGGCGCACGGGUGAGUAACACGUGGAUAAUCUACCCUUUGGAUUGGAAUAACCUGUCGAAAGACGGGCUAAUGCCGAGUAAGCUUACGAGUUCGUGAAGUUCUUGUAAGGAAAGAUGGCGCAAGCUAUCGCCGAUGGAUGAGUCUGCGUCCCAUUAGUUAGUUGGUGGGGUAAUGGCUUACCAAGACUAUGAUGGGUACCUGGUCUGAGAGGAUGACCAGGCACACUGGAACUGAAACACGGUCCGGACUCCUACGGGAGGCAGCAGUAGGGAAUAUUGCGCAAUGGACGAAAGUCUGACGCAGCCACGCCGCGUGAGUGAGGAAGGCCUCGGUUGUAAAGCUCUGUCAUUCGGGAAAAACGGACUAUCCGGGGAAAGGUUCGGUGGCGUGAUGGUACCGAA